ACAGAUUUAAUAUAAAAGGAAGUAUGCUAGUCUCCAAAACUAGAAGUGUAGGUUCAAGUCCUACAGUCUGUG
Molecule: transfer RNA, 72 nt
Filed under: Lactobacillus crispatus
Lineage: Bacteria; Bacillati; Bacillota; Bacilli; Lactobacillales; Lactobacillaceae
Description: tRNA-Trp
Rfam family: tRNA
About the family: Transfer RNA (tRNA) molecules are approximately 80 nucleotides in length. Their secondary structure includes four short double-helical elements and three loops (D, anti-codon, and T loops). Further hydrogen bonds mediate the characteristic L-shaped molecular structure. tRNAs have two regions of fundamental functional importance: the anti-codon, which is responsible for specific mRNA codon recognition, and the 3' end, to which the tRNAs corresponding amino acid is attached (by aminoacyl-tRNA synthetases). tRNAs cope with the degeneracy of the genetic code in two manners: having more than one tRNA (with a specific anti-codon) for a particular amino acid; and 'wobble' base-pairing, i.e. permitting non-standard base-pairing at the 3rd anti-codon position.
Source: RNAcentral